GACGAACGCUGGCGGCGUGCUUAACACAUGCCAGUCGAACGGAAAGGCCCCUUUGGGGGUACUCGAGUGGCGAACGGGUGAGUAACACGUGAGUAACCUGCCCUUGACUUCGGGAUAACUUCAGGAAACUGGGGCUAAUACCGGAUAGGAAUCCUUGCUGCAUGGUGGGGGUUGGAAAGCUUCGGCGGUUUUGGAUGGACUCGCGGCUUAUCAGCUUGUUGGUGGGGUAGUGGCUUACCAAGGCUUUGACGGGUAGCCGGCCUGAGAGGGCGACCGGCCACAUUGGGACUGAGAUACGGCCCAGACUCCUACGGGAGGCAGCAGUGGGGAAUAUUGCACAAUGGGCGGAAGCCUGAUGCAGCAACGCCGCGUGCGGGAUGACGGCCUUCGGGUUGUAAACCGCGUUCAGCAGGGGCGAAGCUUGUGGUGACGGUACCUGCAGAAGAAGCACCGGCUAACUACGUG
This 465-nucleotide ribosomal RNA is filed under the name uncultured bacterium. RNAcentral describes it as "partial 16S ribosomal RNA". It matches the Rfam family "Bacterial small subunit ribosomal RNA", at positions 28 to 507 of the family's 1533-position model. The record is from RNAcentral.